Molecule: ribosomal RNA, 253 nt
Filed under: uncultured bacterium
Lineage: Bacteria
Description: partial 16S ribosomal RNA
Rfam family: Bacterial small subunit ribosomal RNA
Source: RNAcentral
UACGGGGGGGGCAAGCGUUGUUCGGAAUUACUGGGCGUAAAGGGCGCGUAGGCGGACCCAAAAGUCCGGGGUGAAAUCUUUCGGCUUAACCGGAAAAUCGCCUUGGAUACUGUGGGUCUCGAGGGAGGUAGGGGCAUGCGGAACUUCCGGUGGAGCGGUGAAAUGCGUUGAUAUCGGAAGGAACUCCGGUGGCGAAAGCGGCGUGCUGGAUCUCUUCUGACGCUGAGGCGCGAAAGCCAGGGGAGCAAACGGG